Molecule: transfer RNA, 87 nt
Filed under: Candidatus Thorarchaeota archaeon
Lineage: Archaea; Promethearchaeati; Candidatus Thorarchaeota
Description: tRNA-Ser
Rfam family: tRNA
About the family: Transfer RNA (tRNA) molecules are approximately 80 nucleotides in length. Their secondary structure includes four short double-helical elements and three loops (D, anti-codon, and T loops).
Source: RNAcentral
GCCUGGGUAGCCAAGCGGCGACGGCGGCAGCCUGGAGAGCUGCUCUCCCUUUGGGAGGCAUGAGUUCGAAUCUCAUCCCAGGCGCCA